RNAcentral lists this small nuclear RNA (117 nucleotides) under Papio anubis (olive baboon). RNAcentral describes it as "U5 spliceosomal RNA". It matches the Rfam family "U5 spliceosomal RNA". From Rfam's summary of the family: U5 RNA is a component of both types of known spliceosome. The precise function of this molecule is unknown, though it is known that the 5' loop is required for splice site selection and p220 binding, and that both the 3' stem-loop and the Sm site are important for Sm protein binding and cap methylation. Lineage: Eukaryota; Metazoa; Chordata; Mammalia; Primates; Cercopithecidae. The record is from Rfam by way of RNAcentral.
AUGCUCUGGUUUCUCUUCAGAACAAAUAAAUCUUUGGCCUUUUACUAAAGAUUUCCAUGGAGAGGAACAAUUCUUAAUUAAUAACCAAAUUUUUGAUGUCCUGCUUAGGCAAGGCCA